RNAcentral lists this ribosomal RNA (135 nucleotides) under uncultured bacterium. RNAcentral's name for it is "partial 16S ribosomal RNA". It matches the Rfam family "Bacterial small subunit ribosomal RNA", at positions 355 to 507 of the family's 1533-position model. The record is from RNAcentral.
UGGGGAAUCUUGCGCAAUGGGCGAAAGCCUGACGCAGCAACGCCGCGUGCGGGAUGAAGGCCUUCGGGCUGUAAACUGCUUUCAGCAGGAACGAAAAUGACGGUACCUGCAGAAGAAGGAGCGGCCAACUACGUG